UGAACGCUGGCGGCGUGCCUAAUACAUGCAAGUCGAGCGAACGGACGAGAAGCUUGCUUCUCUGAUGUUAGCGGCGGACGGGUGAGUAACACGUGGAUAACCUACCUAUAAGACUGGGAUAACUUCGGGAAACCGGAGCUAAUACCGGAUGAUAUUUUGAACCGCAUGGUUCAAAAGUGAAAGACGGUCUUGCUGUCACUUAUAGAUGGAUCCGCGCUGCAUUAGCUAGUUGGUAAGGUAACGGCUUACCAAGGCAACGAUGCAUAGCCGACCUGAGAGGGUGAUCGGCCACACUGGAACUGAGACACGGUCCAGACUCCUACGGGAGGCAGAAGUAGGGAAUCUUCCGAAAUGGGCGAAAGCCUGACGGAGAAACGCCGCGGGAGUGAUGAAGGUCUUCGGAUCGUAAAACUCUGUUAUUAGGGAAGAACAUAUGUGUAAGUAACUGUGCACAUCUUGACGGUACCUAAUCAGAAAGCCACGGCUAACUACGUG
RNAcentral lists this ribosomal RNA (495 nucleotides) under uncultured bacterium. RNAcentral's name for it is "partial 16S ribosomal RNA". It matches the Rfam family "Bacterial small subunit ribosomal RNA", at positions 30 to 507 of the family's 1533-position model. The record is from RNAcentral.